Molecule: ribosomal RNA, 484 nt
Filed under: uncultured bacterium
Lineage: Bacteria
Description: partial 16S ribosomal RNA
Rfam family: Bacterial small subunit ribosomal RNA
Source: RNAcentral
AUUGAACGCUGGCGGCAGGCCUAACACAUGCAAGUCGAGCGGAUGAAGGGAGCUUGCUCCUGGAUUCAGCGGCGGACGGGUGAGUAAUGCCUAGGAAUCUGCCUGGUAGUGGGGGAUAACGUCCGGAAACGGGCGCUAAUACCGCAUACGUCCUGAGGGAGCAAGUGGGGGAUCUUCGGACCUCACGCUAUCAGAUGAGCCUAGGUCGGAUUAGCUAGUUGGUGGGGUAAAGGCCUACCAAGGCGACGAUCCGUAACUGGUCUGAGAGGAUGAUCAGUCACACGGGAACUGAGACACGGUCCAGACUCCUACGGGAGGCAGCAGUGGGGAAUAUUGGACAAUGGGCGAAAGCCUGAUCCAGCCAUGCCGCGUGUGUGAAGAAGGUCUUCGGAUUGUAAAGCACUUUAAGUUGGGAGGAAGGGCAGUAAGUUAAUACCUUGCUGUUUUGACGUUACCAACAGAAUAAGCACCGGCUAACUUCGUG